AUUGAACGCUGGCGGCAUGCCUUACACAUGCCAGUCGAACGGCAGCAUGAUCUAGCUUGCUAGAUUGAUGGCGAGUGGCGAACGGGUGAGUAAUACAUCGGAACGUGCCCUGUAGUGGGGGAUAACUAGUCGAAAGAUUAGCUAAUACCGCAUACGACCUGAGGGUGAAAGUGGGGGACCGCAAGGCCUCAUGCUAUAGGAGCGGCCGAUGUCUGAUUAGCUAGUUGGUGAGGUAAAGGCUCACCAAGGCGACGAUCAGUAGCUGGUCUGAGAGGACGAUCAGCCACACUGGGACUGAGACACGGCCCAGACUCCUACGGGAGGCAGCAGUGGGGAAUUUUGGACAAUGGGCGAAAGCCUGAUCCAGCAAUGCCGCGUGUGUGAAGAAGGCCUUCGGGUUGUAAAGCACUUUUGUCCGGAAAGAAAUGGCUCUGGUUAAUACCUGGGGUCGAUGGCGGUACCGGAAGAAUAAGGACCGGCUAACUACGUG
This 490-nucleotide ribosomal RNA is filed under the name uncultured bacterium. RNAcentral's name for it is "partial 16S ribosomal RNA". It matches the Rfam family "Bacterial small subunit ribosomal RNA", at positions 30 to 507 of the family's 1533-position model. The record is from RNAcentral.